This 1044-nucleotide ribosomal RNA is filed under the name Tyraphus nitidus. RNAcentral describes it as "16S ribosomal RNA". The stretch from base 839 to 997 matches the Rfam family "Archaeal large subunit ribosomal RNA", at positions 2542 to 2701 of the family's 2987-position model. Lineage: Eukaryota; Metazoa; Arthropoda; Insecta; Coleoptera; Staphylinidae. The record is from RNAcentral.
CCCGAAUUUUGAAGAGCUAUAUUAAUAUAUAUAUUAUUGUAUAAUAAAUAUUUUGGAUAUUAAUAUUGAAGCUAAAUACUAUUCGAUUCAAAUUAUAUCUGGUUUUUUGGGAAAUAAAUUUAAUUUAUUUGUUAUUAAUAAUUGGUUUUGUUUAAUUAAUUGUUUUAUAAUAUUAAAUAAUUAAAGGGAUUAGCUUUUAAUUAAAUUUCUAAAAUAAUUUUUUUUAUUAAAAAGAAUAUAGGAUUAAUAAUUUUCAUUAUUUUUAAUUUGUUAUAAUUAGCUUUUUUGUAUAAAGAUUUUUUUUUUAUUUAGAUUUUUUACUAAAAUUAUGAAAUUAAUAAUUUUAUUUAUUUAAUAAUGGUAAAAUUAGUAUAUUAUAAUUUAUGAAUAAUUUUUAUUCUUAGGUAGAUUAAAGGAAUUCGGCAAAUAUAUUUUUCACCUGUUUAAUAAAAACAUGUCUUUUUGAUAAUAAUUUAAAGUCUGGUCUGCCCAAUGAAAAUUAAAUGGCCGCAGUAUUUUGACUGUGCGAAGGUAGCAUAAUAAUUAGUUUUUUUAUUGAAAGCUGGAAUGAAUGAUUUAAUGAAAAAAUAGCUGUCUCUAAUUUAUUUAUAUAGAAUUUUAUUUUUUAGUUAAAAAGCUGAAAUUUAAUUUAAAGACGAGAAGACCCUAUAGAGUUUUAUAUUUUAAGAACAAUUUAUUUUAUUGAAUUAAUUUAUUUUUAGUUUUUAAAUUAUUUUGUUGGGGUGACAGAAAAAUUUAAUUAACUUUUUUAUUAUAUUUACAAUUUUAAUUGGAUUUAUGAUCCUUAUUUUGGAUAAAUAGAUUAAAUUACCUUAGGGAUAACAGCGUAAUUUUUCUGUAGAGUUCUAAUCGAUAGAAAAGAUUGCGACCUCGAUGUUGGAUUAAGAUUUAUUUUUAAUGUAGAAGUUAAAAUAUUUAGUCUGUUCGACUAUUAAAAUCUUACAUGAUCUGAGUUUAGACCGGCGUGAGCCAGGUUGGUUUCUAUCUUUAAUCAAUAAGAACUUCUUAGUACGAAAGGACCAG